AUAUGAUUACGCAGCAGAUAACCCAGAGAUGGCGUCGAUACUUGAUGGUAUCACCUUUGAAGAAUUGUGGAAUUUUCUUCACUCUGCACCGGCAAAAAACGAGGCAGAUAUAAAGGCAUGUCAAUUUCUUGCCACUCUACUUGGAGGAGGAGAAGGUGACAAAAUCUGCACGGAAAGGAAUGCGGUGGACCAGGAAGCAGCAAUAAUGCCCUAAAGAUUUUACAGUCACAAGCUGAGGGU
Long non-coding RNA from Priapulus caudatus, 240 nucleotides. RefSeq lists it as uncharacterized. The record is from RefSeq and is a predicted model, not a curated record. NCBI's taxonomy places the organism in Eukaryota, Metazoa, Priapulida, Priapulimorpha, Priapulimorphida, Priapulidae. The transcript has 3 exons.